This 528-nucleotide ribosomal RNA is filed under the name uncultured bacterium. Its description in RNAcentral is "bacterial SSU rRNA". It matches the Rfam family "Bacterial small subunit ribosomal RNA", at positions 777 to 1304 of the family's 1533-position model. The record is from RNAcentral.
AAUAGAUACCCUGGUAGUCCACGCCGUAAACGAUGUCGACUUGGAGGUUGUGGCCCUUGAGGCGUGGCUUCCGGAGCUAACGCGUUAAGUCGACCGCCUGGGGAGUACGGCCGCAAGGUUAAAACUCAAAUGAAUUGACGGGGGCCCGCGACAAGCGGUGGAGCAUGUGGUUUAAUUCGAUGCAACGCGAAGAACCUUACCUACUCUUGACAUCCAGAGAACUUGCCAGAGAUGGCUUGGUGCCUUCGGGAACUCUGAGACAGGUGCUGCAUGGCUGUCGUCAGCUCGUGUUGUGAAUGUUGGGUUAAGUCCCGCAACGAGCGCAACCCUUAUCCUUUGUUGCCAGCGGUUAGGCCGGGAACUCAAAGGAGACUGCCAGUGAUAAACUGGAGGAAGGUGGGGAUGACGUCAAGUCAUCAUGGCCCUUACGAGUAGGGCUACACACGUGCUACAAUGGCGCAUACAAAGAGAAGCGACCUCGCGAGAGCAAGCGGACCUCAUAAAGUGCGUCGUAGUCCGGAUUGGAGU